This 2038-nucleotide long non-coding RNA is filed under the name Ananas comosus (pineapple). Its description in RNAcentral is "long non-coding RNA (ACOM_LNC032575)". The record is from RNAcentral. Lineage: Eukaryota; Viridiplantae; Streptophyta; Magnoliopsida; Poales; Bromeliaceae.
GCUAAAUAUCUGAUUUUCAUAUACAUAGCUAGAAUCCAAAAUACAAAGCUACUUGCACUGGCGAGUUAAACAACUAUGUACAUAAACUCCAAAACAAAACUACCUGCAGUAGGGGAAAGCCUCUAGCUCUGACUGUCGGGUAGGGCUCUAGCUCGCAACGCCCUUGCCUCGAUCCUGAUCGGCAGAAGAUGCAGCAGCCGGCACCUGUGGCUCUGCAAAACAUAAGUAACAACUGGGCGUGAGAACUACUGUAAAAACAAGUAGUCCUCAGUGGGUACCGCCCAAAACGACAUCGGUCACCCACUAAGUCUACAGAAGGGAGCAAGGAUAGAAGGAAAAGCAGGAAGUACACUCUACCGCUAUCAUCCACUACACUAUCAUGCUCUACACUAACCAACUGUAGGAAAUGUCAAAUCUGACCCAAUCCAAAUCGGGACUGUAAGCAUACCCGUCCCCGGGACUGUGAAUACACCCGUCCCUGCCCCGUUGCGACUAUCGGGCUCUAUCCACUCUAACUGGUCCGUGGAGAGCAAGUCCAACUGGCAUGAGCGACACCAACGCAAAAGCACAAGCCUGACUCCGGAGUGGCACUCGUGGGCGCUACCCAACCGAGUAUGCAGCGUAUCUCUGUCGAGCUCAAACAGGCUCUGGAAAGCCAAAGUCAAGAAACCGACUCUAAACUGGUCUAACAACCAACAGGUAACGUGCCCUCGGCACAAUCUGACGCCAAAAAGGCGAUACGGGUCCACCGUCAACUCUGACGGCACCCAACAGUCCGAAAUAACCUGAACGACCCGGUAAAAAUCCACUCGGCGAACCAGCACGAGUGUAAAUAUAUUCUAAACUACCUGGAGUACUCGUCUCGACAAUACUGCGACAGUACAAUUUUCUAACGGCUCCUAGAGCUAAAUCAGGCAGUUUAUACAGGUGACAGGUCCAAAUCGCAGGUUUUCUCCUAAUUCAAUUUCCAAGUCCAACAUGUAUAAUCUACUUAAUUUAAAACAACAUGCUCCAAAAUUCAGAUUUCACAAUCUACAUAUAGUCCAUGAAUUUGAGCUAAAAUUAAUUACCGAAAUCAAGAUCUAUACAUGUCGACCAAUAAGAACUUAGGAGUAAAGCCGAUGUAACCCACCUCAAAAGCUAAAUCCAGGCAGCGAACGAAGCCUCGAACCAGGACAACCUCUGCUGGAUCAACUGGGGACCUCCAAGUCCGGUGGACGAGCUAACGCCAAGCUAAACAAUUAAGGAUCCUCGAUUCAGUCCAGAAAUUCACAGCAGCUGAGUAGGAACGGGAUUCGACCGAGCUAACCUUCACCAAAUCUGGCAAGUGAGGGCUUCGUGGAUUCCUCUCGAAGUCCCGAAUCCAACGAACCAAGCCUCGUCGCGAUCCGACGUUCCUACGCGGAGAACGAGCUGAAAUACGAACAGUCGACGGCGGAUUUCAGCAAAACAGCUACUAACCGAGUAGAAAUAAUAAUACUUGCCCAAAAUCCAGGAAAGACGCCGAAUCACCCACCUCGACAGCGUCGAACCUCGGCGCGACGUCAAGAACAGUGAAGACGCUCCCUCGCCCGGCCUCCUCGUAAAGCUCCGGCAGCAAGCGCGCUCGAACGGCUCGCGGCGCGACGUCGGCGACGGAAUCCCCCAACCGGACUCUCCACCAACACCUAGAGAGAGAGAGGAGAAGAAGAAGAUGGAGAAGAGCAGGAAGUACUCUCUCUCACUCUCUCUCUCUCUGCUCGGACACUUAAAAGGAGAGGGGAGGUGAGGGAGAUACAAACGAGGUGAGAUUUUACCGUUUUAGCCCUUUACCUACUCCCUUGUACCGGUACACGGGCUCCUGUACCGGUACAAGAGCCAACCCGAGAGCAGCUAAAUCUGUGCGCGUAGCUUGUACCGGUACAGAAAACCCUUGUACCGGUACAGCAAGCAUUCCCCGCGCUGGUUGUACCGGUACAGCAUACUCUUGUACCGGUACAGCAAGCAGGAAAAUCUGCUGUUUCGCAGAUUCCUUCGCUGAAUGCUGCCCUCGCGUCGC